Molecule: ribosomal RNA, 86 nt
Filed under: Stenotrophomonas rhizophila
Lineage: Bacteria; Pseudomonadati; Pseudomonadota; Gammaproteobacteria; Lysobacterales; Lysobacteraceae
Also listed under: 2 other names
Source: RNAcentral
CGAUCCCAUCCCGAACUCGGAAGUGAAACGCAGCUGCGCCGAUGGUAGUGUGGCCUAAGCCAUGCGAGAGUAGGUCAUCGCCAGGG